GAGUUUGAUCCUGGCUCAGAACGAACGCUGGCGGCAGGCUUAACACAUGCAAGUCGAACGAGAAACCCUUUCGGGGGUGGACAGUGGCAGACGGGUGAGUAACGCGUGGGAAACUACCCAGAGGUACGGGACAACCAUUGGAAACGAUGGCUAAUACCGCAUACGCCCCCCUUAGUGAAAUUUGGGGGGGAAAGAUUUAUCGCCUUUGGAUGUGCCCGCGUAAGAUUAGUUUGUUGGUGGGGUAAUGGCCUACCAAGGCUACGAUCUUUAGCUGGUCUGAGAGGAUGAUCAGCCACAUUGGGACUGAGACACGGCCCAGACUCCUACGGGAGGCAAGCAGUGGGGAAUCUUGCGCAAUGGGCGAAAGCCUGACGCAGCCAUGCCGCGUGAGUGAAGAAGGCCCUCGGGUUGUAAAACUCUUUCGACGGUGACGAUCGUGACGGUAACCGGUAAAGAAAGACCACGGACAACUCCGUGCCAGACAGNCGCGGUAAGACGGAGGGGNGCUAAGCNGUAGGUAUCGGAAUUACUGGGCGUAACAAGGGCGUGUCAGGACGGAUGGGAUCACAUACNGGGGCGUGCAAAGACCAGGGGGAUCAAAACCCCAGGGAACAGGGACUUGGGAAAACUGGAACCAAUCUAAGAAGAGACACGGAAAGAACGGUGAAGCGGAAAUUCCACANGAUACAGGAGGAGACAUUCCGACAGACAACUCGGGAAAGAACACCCCAGAAGAAGAAAAGAGGAGGAGCCAAAAGGGANACAGAGUACAAGAAGAUAAAAGAAAGAAAGAGAUAGAGAGGAAAAAGAAAAGAUAAAAAGGAGGAAG
RNAcentral lists this ribosomal RNA (829 nucleotides) under uncultured Alphaproteobacteria bacterium. RNAcentral's name for it is "bacterial SSU rRNA". The stretch from base 1 to 551 matches the Rfam family "Bacterial small subunit ribosomal RNA", at positions 9 to 873 of the family's 1533-position model. The record is from RNAcentral. Lineage: Bacteria; Pseudomonadati; Pseudomonadota; Alphaproteobacteria.